GGUCACCAGGCUCUUCCACCUCCACAUCGAUCUGCAUGACCUCGUAGGAGGCGCCAUCCGCACUGGAGAGAAGACACAGAGGAGAACAGCUUUCAGGGACUGAUGAGGUAGAAAAAUGUAGAUUUGGUGCCUGCCUCUGCCUGAAAAGGAAGUGACCAGGGUGUAGCUGAGAAUGAACAGAGGAAUCCGCUGAGAGAGGUGAAACCCCGGUGAUGAUGACAGCCAGAGACACACCCCACAACCUCCAAAGAGAUGAUCACAGCCAGAGACAUACCCCACAACCUCCAAAGAGAAGCUGAACUUGCUUCAUGUCUAAGAUCCGUAGUUUACCUUUUUAACAAGUCCUGACCUAAUGUGACUGGUGACCUUAAAAGAAGAGGAGAUUAAGAGACAGGUGCACACAGAGGAAAGAACAUAUGAAGGCAUCGGGAGAAGGCAGCAUCUACAAUCUUCAGAGAGAGGCCUCAGAAGGAUCCAAACCUGCCUGUACCUUGAUUUUGGCCUUCCAGCCUCCAGAACUGUGAGAAAAUAAACUCCUGUUGGUGAAGCA
Molecule: long non-coding RNA, 550 nt
Filed under: Homo sapiens (human)
Lineage: Eukaryota; Metazoa; Chordata; Mammalia; Primates; Hominidae
Description: HSALNT0197334
Source: RNAcentral